This 68-nucleotide transfer RNA is filed under the name Merluccius polli (Benguela hake). RNAcentral describes it as "tRNA-Thr". It matches the Rfam family "tRNA". From Rfam's summary of the family: Transfer RNA (tRNA) molecules are approximately 80 nucleotides in length. Their secondary structure includes four short double-helical elements and three loops (D, anti-codon, and T loops). Lineage: Eukaryota; Metazoa; Chordata; Actinopteri; Gadiformes; Merlucciidae. The record is from RNAcentral.
GGCACUGUGGCUUAGGUGGUGCCUGUUUAGUAAACAGGAGAUCCUGGCUUCAAAUCCCAGCGGUGCCU